This 1556-nucleotide ribosomal RNA is filed under the name Escherichia coli. Its description in RNAcentral is "bacterial SSU rRNA". It matches the Rfam family "Bacterial small subunit ribosomal RNA". The record is from RNAcentral. Lineage: Bacteria; Pseudomonadati; Pseudomonadota; Gammaproteobacteria; Enterobacterales; Enterobacteriaceae.
UUAAAUUGAAGAGUUUGAUCAUGGCUCAGAUUGAACGCUGGCGGCAGGCCUAACACAUGCAAGUCGAACGGUAACAGGAAACAGCUUGCUGUUUCGCUGACGAGUGGCGGACGGGUGAGUAAUGUCUGGGAAACUGCCUGAUGGAGGGGGAUAACUACUGGAAACGGUAGCUAAUACCGCAUAACGUCGCAAGACCAAAGAGGGGGACCUUCGGGCCUCUUGCCAUCGGAUGUGCCCAGAUGGGAUUAGCUUGUUGGUGGGGUAACGGCUCACCAAGGCGACGAUCCCUAGCUGGUCUGAGAGGAUGACCAGCCACACUGGAACUGAGACACGGUCCAGACUCCUACGGGAGGCAGCAGUGGGGAAUAUUGCACAAUGGGCGCAAGCCUGAUGCAGCCAUGCCGCGUGUAUGAAGAAGGCCUUCGGGUUGUAAAGUACUUUCAGCGGGGAGGAAGGGAGUAAAGUUAAUACCUUUGCUCAUUGACGUUACCCGCAGAAGAAGCACCGGCUAACUCCGUGCCAGCAGCCGCGGUAAUACGGAGGGUGCAAGCGUUAAUCGGAAUUACUGGGCGUAAAGCGCACGCAGGCGGUUUGUUAAGUCAGAUGUGAAAUCCCCGGGCUCAACCUGGGAACUGCAUCUGAUACUGGCAAGCUUGAGUUUCGUAGAGGGGGGUAGAAUUCCAGGUGUAGCGGUGAAAUGCGUAGAGAUCUGGAGGAAUACCGGUGGCGAAGGCGGCCCCCUGGACGAAGACUGACGCUCAGGUGCGAAAGCGUGGGGAGCAAACAGGAUUAGAUACCCUGGUAGUCCACGCCGUAAACGAUGUCGACUUGGAGGUUGUGCCCUUGAGGCGUGGCUUCCGGAGCUAACGCGUUAAGUCGACCGCCUGGGGAGUACGGCCGCAAGGUUAAAACUCAAAUGAAUUGACGGGGGCCCGCACAAGCGGUGGAGCAUGUGGUUUAAUUCGAUGCAACGCGAAGAACCUUACCUGGUCUUGACAUCCACGGAAGUUUUCAGAGAUGAGAAUGUGCCUUCGGGAACCGUGAGACAGGUGCUGCAUGGCUGUCGUCAGCUCGUGUUGUGAAAUGUUGGGUUAAGUCCCGCAACGAGCGCAACCCUUAUCCUUUGUUGCCAGCGGUCCGGCCGGGAACUCAAAGGAGACUGCCAGUGAUAAACUGGAGGAAGGUGGGGAUGACGUCAAGUCAUCAUGGCCCUUACGACCAGGGCUACACACGUGCUACAAUGGCGCAUACAAAGAGAAGCGACCUCGCGAGAGCAAGCGGACCUCAUAAAGUGCGUCGUAGUCCGGAUUGGAGUCUGCAACUCGACUCCAUGAAGUCGGAAUCGCUAGUAAUCGUGGAUCAGAAUGCCACGGUGAAUACGUUCCCGGGCCUUGUACACACCGCCCGUCACACCAUGGGAGUGGGUUGCAAAAGAAGUAGGUAGCUUAACCUUCGGGAGGGCGCUUACCACUUUGUGAUUCAUGACUGGGGUGAAGUCGUAACAAGGUAACCGUAGGGGAACCUGCGGUUGGAUCACCUCCUUACCUUAAAGAAGC